Long non-coding RNA from Notolabrus celidotus (New Zealand spotty), 630 nucleotides. RefSeq lists it as uncharacterized. The record is from RefSeq and is a predicted model, not a curated record. The transcript has 3 exons. Lineage: Eukaryota; Metazoa; Chordata; Actinopteri; Labriformes; Labridae.
CACAGGCUUAACAUGAUAGAUUCAAGUUACGCAGGGGGGGCAUGUUAUUUUAAAUAAAAUGUCCCCCUUACUUGUUACUUGAAUCUAUCAUGUUAAAGUGUUUCUGAAGUGGCAACUUGAGAAUUAUUAGAAAUCUUGAAAGUUUGUUUUUUAAAGCAAUCAAGCAUAGUAAGACAUUUUUAAAAUAAAUUGGAUUUUUUAUAAAGCUGAAUGUAAUUUUUCUUGAACUGAUGCAAAAGCUUGCUAAUUUUUCUAACAUUCUUUUGCAGUUCGAGAUGCCGCCCAGGGUCAGUCCACGCAAGGAUGCCCUUAACCAUGUUUGCUGGAAGACUGACAAAACCAGCAAAUUAGAGGUCAAAUACAUCAAUGCAGUGAAAGGACGUGGUGUAUUUGCCUUAGCCUCAUUCUCCAAAGGAGAUUUUGUACUAGAGUACAGAGGGGACCUGAUUGAUGGUGCAGAAACCAACAGAAGACGAAGCAUUUACCACCCAGCAUGUUUGGCAUUUAUGUUCUCUUUCAAAUGGAGAAGGAAGAAAUGGUGUAUUGAUGCCUCAAGAGAUGAUGGAUCGUUUGGACGGCUUGUCAACGAUGAGCACAGUCAUCCAAAUUGUAGGAUGAAAAAACUUAAUU